CCUUAGAGUUUGAUCCUGGCUCAGGACGAACGCUGGCGGCGUGCUUAACACAUGCAAGUCGAGCGAGGAGAUAGCUGGAAGUUCUUCGGGAUGGAAGGUUAUGUUCGAGCGGCGGACGGGUGAGUAACGCGUGAACAAUCUGUCCCAUGCAGGGGGAUAACACUUGGAAACAGGUGCUAAUACCGCAUAAGACCACGGAGGGGCAUCCCUUUGGGGUAAAAGGAGGAAUCCGGAAUGGGGUGAGUUCGCGUCCGAUUAGCUAGUUGGUUGGGUAAAGGCUCACCAAGGCGACGAUCGGUAGCCGACCUGAGAGGGUGAACGGCCACAUUGGAACUGAGAGACGGUCCAAACUCCUACGGGAGGCAGCAGUGGGGAAUAUUGGGCAAUGGGCGAAAGCCUGACCCAGCAACGCCGCGUGAGGGAAGAAGGUUUUCGGAUUGUAAACCUCUGUCCUUGGUGACGAAGGAAGUGACGGUAGCCAAGGAGGAAGCCCCGGCUAACUACGUGCCAGCAGCCGCGGUAAUACGUAGGGGGCGAGCGUUGUCCGGAAUUACUGGGCGUAAAGGGUGCGUAGGCGGCAAUUUAAGUUGGAUGUGAAAUACCCGGGCUUAACCUGGGGGGUGCAUUCAAAACUGGAUAGCUAGAGUACAGGAGAGGGAAGCGGAAUUCUUAGUGUAGCGGUGAAAUGCGUAAAUAUUAGGAGGAAAACCGGUGGGCGAAAGCGGCUUACUGGAAGGUAACUGACGUUGAGGGCUCAAAAGCUGGGGAGCAAACAAGAUUAGAUACCCCUGGUAGUCCACCCGGUAAAACCAUGAAUGCUAGGUGUCGGGGGAGCAAAGCUCUUCGGUGCCCCCCCAAACGCAUUAAAGCAUUCCCCCUGGGGAGUACGUUCGCAAGAAUGAAACUCAAAGGAAUGGACGGGGACCCGCACAAGCGGUGGAGCAUGUGGUU
This 951-nucleotide ribosomal RNA is filed under the name uncultured bacterium. RNAcentral describes it as "bacterial SSU rRNA". It matches the Rfam family "Bacterial small subunit ribosomal RNA", at positions 1 to 946 of the family's 1533-position model. The record is from RNAcentral.